Molecule: long non-coding RNA, 478 nt
Filed under: Pogona vitticeps (central bearded dragon)
Lineage: Eukaryota; Metazoa; Chordata; Lepidosauria; Squamata; Agamidae
Description: lncRNA (ENSPVIG00000023625.1)
Source: RNAcentral
AUGGCAAAAAGUCAAGAAAAAUUCUCCUCCUCCCCUCCUUGGACUUCUGAGAAUAUAUAUAAGGAUAUAAACAAAGCUACCGUACGCCCAGAAAGACCUGUAAAAGAACUAGCCUCUUCAAGGAGUAUGAAGGCACACAGUUUCUUGUUCUUUUGUGGAGUUCUGAUGCUGUGUGAUAAUCUGACAUCAGCAGCAGUGAUCAAUAAAUUGGUUCAGCCCGAAAGAUGUCUUCCUAGUCCAAUCGUAUGUACCCGGUACGAACCAGAUAACUGUCAGGACGACUCUGACUGCCCGUUAAACCAGAAGUGCUGUUUUGUUCCUUGCGCUUGGAGUUGUGUGGAUGCUGUGUAAUGAGGGUAAAUUCAUUUCCUGAUGGGCUCCUGAGUUAACCAUGGCUUGACAAACCAAUAACUGACUCCUACUGGCUUGAUGGGAGAUUCAGACAUAUUUCUAAAUAAAUCUUCUUUAUGUAGAAACA